RNAcentral lists this long non-coding RNA (666 nucleotides) under Monodelphis domestica (gray short-tailed opossum). RNAcentral's name for it is "lncRNA (ENSMODG00000034900.2)". Lineage: Eukaryota; Metazoa; Chordata; Mammalia; Didelphimorphia; Didelphidae. The record is from RNAcentral.
GCUCCUUAGAAAGGAAAUGAUGCGCAAUACUCCAGUCAUGGGCUGUUGGAAACCAAUUCUUCCAGGUGAAGCGUGAAGCCUUUGAACUGAUCUUCAUUCUUGAGUCUGAUUUGGCUGCUCUGACAUGUAGAGGAGAGCCCCUGGCAGGCCUAGGGGACUGUUCUGCUAGUUUGAAUUUGCCCCCAAGUCAUGAAGGACCUGAAGAGUCAACAGAGUACAGAGGGAGUAAAUGGCCCAAAGGCUCAUAGAGAUAAAGGUCCUGCCUUAUGUGAGAGGUGGGUCAGAGUCGUCAAAAGACAGGGAGAUGUAAUUCUUAGCUGCCCUGCUUUUGAGACUCUCCAAGGAAUCUUCUUCAAUUGUCAAUUCAGCUUCCAGUUUCAAGAGAGAAGAUGAAGAGGUCAAUCUCACUUUAGGAUGCUAAAGGAAAUCUCUGGGAAGACCUGAGAAGAAUGGAAAGUUUCUAUCAGGUCCACCUUGCUAUUCUAGAGUUGUUAGAGUUUCCCCUUGGAUGAUAUCCAAGACCUUCUCUCUUGAUUGAGCUAAGUUACCUCAAUCUCAAUGAGAGAGUUCCUCCACCUCGAAUUGUUUGGUAUAUUCUCCCAUGUAUACUUUCUCUGAUUUGUGUUUUGUUAUGAUUUGAAUAAAUUGCAUUUUUUUUGCUAGUCA